This 452-nucleotide ribosomal RNA is filed under the name Hypolestes sp. SMB-2007. Its description in RNAcentral is "partial 16S ribosomal RNA". It matches the Rfam family "Archaeal large subunit ribosomal RNA", at positions 2002 to 2654 of the family's 2987-position model. The record is from RNAcentral. Lineage: Eukaryota; Metazoa; Arthropoda; Insecta; Odonata; Megapodagrionidae.
AACGGCCCGCGGUAUCGUGACCGUGCAAAGGUAGCAUAAUCAUUAGUCUUUUAAUAGAGGGCUGGAAUGAAAGGUUUGACGAGGUAUUGACUGUCUCACUUUGAUGAUUUUAAAAUUUAAUUUUUAAGUUAAAAGGCUUAAAUGGUUUUGGAAGACGAGAAGACCCUAUAGAGCUUUAUGGUUGUAUUUAAUAAUAGCUUUGGUUUAUAUAUUAUAUUAUUUUAUAUAACUUUUUUGUUGGGGUGACAAAAAAUAUAUAUUUAACUUUUAUUAUAUAUAAAACAUUUAUUUGUGGUUAUUAGAUCCUUUUUUAUUGAUUAUUAGACUAAGUUACCUUAGGGAUAACAGCGUAAUCCCCUUUUGGAGUUCUUAUUUACAAGGGGGCUUGCGACCUCGAUGUUGAAUUAAGAUUAUAGUUGGGUGUAGCAGCUUAACUUAUAGGUCUGUUCGAC